RNAcentral lists this ribosomal RNA (497 nucleotides) under uncultured bacterium. Its description in RNAcentral is "partial 16S ribosomal RNA". It matches the Rfam family "Bacterial small subunit ribosomal RNA", at positions 28 to 507 of the family's 1533-position model. The record is from RNAcentral.
GAUGAACGCUGGCGGCGUGCCUAAUACAUGCAAGUCGAGCGAACGGACGAUAAGCUUGCUUCUCUGAUGUUAGCGGCGGACGGGUGAGUAACACGUGGAUAACCUACCUAUAAGACUGGGAUAACUUCGGGAAACCGGAGCUAAUACCGGAUAAUAUUUUGAACCGCAUGGUUCAAAAGUGAAAGACGGUCUUGCUGUCACUUAUAGAUGGAUCCGCGCUGCAUUAGCUAGUUGGUAAGGUAACGGCUUACCAAGGCAACGAUGCAUAGCCGACCUGAGAGGGUGAUCGGCCACACUGGAACUGAGACACGGUCCAGACUCCUACGGGAGGCAGCAGUAGGGAAUCUUCCGCAAUGGGCGAAAGCCUGACGCAGCAACGCCGCGUGAGUGAUGAAGGUCUUCGGAUCGUAAAACUCUGUUAUUAGGGAAGAACAGAUGUGUAAGUAACCGUGCACAUCUUGACGGUACCUAAUCAGAAAGCCACGGCUAACUACGUG